This 1535-nucleotide ribosomal RNA is filed under the name uncultured bacterium. RNAcentral's name for it is "bacterial SSU rRNA". It matches the Rfam family "Bacterial small subunit ribosomal RNA". The record is from RNAcentral.
AGAGUUUGAUUAUGGUAUAGGGCUAACGCUGGCGGCGUGUCUUAGACAUGCAAGUCGUGCGGGGUUGGGAUUUUUCAGUUUACUGGAAAGUCCCAACUUAGCGGCGAACGGGUGAGUAAUACAGGGGAACCUACCCCAGGGAAGGGGACAACCUCGGGAAACCGGGGCUAAUACCCUAUAAUAUUCAGAAGCGACAGCUUCUGAAUCAAAGGUGGCCUCUGCUUGCAUGCUACCGCCCUGGGAGGGGCUCCUGGCCUAUCAGGUUGUUGGUGAGGUAAUGGCUCACCAAGCCUAAGACGGGUAGCCGGCCUGAGAGGGUGAACGGCCACAAGGGCACUGAGACACGGGCCCUACUCCUACGGGAGGCAGCAGUCUAGAAAUUUGGGCAAUGGGCGCAAGCCUGACCCAGCGACGCCGCGUGCGGGAUGAAGCCCUUCGGGGUGUAAACCGCUGUCAGGGAGGACGAUGGGUGAAUGGGUGAACAAUCCAUUCAUCUGACGGUACUCCCAGAGGAAGCCCCGGCUAACUACGUGCCAGCAGCCGCGGUAAUACGUAGGGGGCUAGCGUUGCCCGGAUUCACUGGGUGUAAAGGGUGUGUAGGCGGAUAGGUAGGUCCAUUGUGAAAGACCCUGGCUCAACCAGGGAUGUGCAGUGGAAACCACCUAUCUAGAGGACGGGAGAGGGGACCGGAACUCCCGGUGUAGCGGUAAAAUGCGUGGAUAUCGGGAGGAACGCCGAUGGCGAAGGCAGGUCCCUGGAACGUUCCUGACGCUGAGACACGAAAGCUGGGGGAGCGAACCGGAUUAGAUACCCGGGUAGUCCCAGCCCUAAACGAUGCGUGCUAGGUGUUGGGCAUUUGCCCAGUGCCGCAGGUAACCCGAUAAGCACGCCACCUGGGGACUACGGCCGCAAGGCUAAAACUCAAAGGAAUUGACGGGAGCCCGCACAAGCGGUGGAGGAUGUGGUUUAAUUCGAGGCUACGCGAAGAACCUUACCUGGGCUUGACAUGCAGGUGGUACGACCCCGAAAGGGGAAGGACCGGGGUUUCCCGGAGCCUGCACAGGUGCUGCAUGGCUGUCGUCAGCUCGUGCCGUGAGGUGUUGGGUUAAGUCCCGCAACGAGCGCAACCCCUGCCCUUAGUUGCCAUCAGGUCCUUUGGAUGCUGGGCACUCUAAGGGGACUGCCGGCGAUGAGCCGGAGGAAGGUGGGGACGACGUCAAGUCAUCAUGGCCCUUACGCCCAGGGCUACACACGUCCUACAGUGGCCGUUACGGAGGGUUGCAAAUCCGCGAGGAGGAGCCAAUCCCUAAAAGCGGCCAUGGUUCGGAUUGCAGGCUGCAACUCGCCUGCAUGAAGAGGGAAUCGCUAGUAAUCACCCAUCAGCAAUGGGGUGGUGAAUACGUUCUCGGGCUUUGUACACACCGCCCGUCAAGCCAUGGGAGUCUGCAACACCCGAAGUCCGAGACCCAACCCCUUUUUGGGGAGGGAUCGGCCCAAGGUGGGGCAGAUGACUGGGGCUAAGUCGUAACAAGGUA